AUCACUACUAUCAAAGCAAGAUUCAGAAUGGUGAGGACUUUCUUGACCCCUUUUCCCUUCAGAACAGCUUGUUGCCUUCAUAUAACGAGGCGAUGAAUCGGAUACCUCAAGUGAAUAUGUGAGUUAUUUUGUUGAUUCUGUUAUACUGAUGAACUUGCUUUUCAUCAACCAAAUGAUCUUGAGGAUGAUGAAUCAACUGACAUCAAAGGGUAGUUCACCAGAUUGAGAACUUUGCCAAAAUGGGGGAAAAAAAGAUGGUCUUUUUCUUCUUUGACAAAGUUAUCAACUUUGAGGAAAAAAUUUGUAUAACUUUGACAAGAAAGUGCAAAAUUCUGUCUUUAUUAGUCUAUUUGAUUAUUAGUGUAUGAGGAAUUUUGGCAUUUGAAACUAGACUUGGUGCUCUUGGUUUUGAACUUUUGGCUGAUGGAUCAAUGAAAAGGCAAGGGAAGUUCCUUUGUUUGUUUGGUUUCUUAAUGGUGUCUGUCCCAUCUCUCUCCUUACAUGUCAAGCUUUGAGCUAGUUCUUCUUUUAAGCAUCCAGUACACGAAACUCAAUGGUCCGACAAAUUCAAAUUUGCAUCAGGUGGGCCCACUAAGGGGAGUAAAACGCUCGCUUCCAACUUCUAACAGAUCCUCUAUUAACACAGAAAACCGAGACCUCUGGUAUAGGAUGGAGGAAUUUCAAUCAUCGCUCAACAUCCCUUGGCAGUUGAGGAAGUGAUCGUUCAAUGCCACUAGCCCCUCCAAGAUUUGACUUUUUUUUUUUAUUGGAAAAGGCUUCUUUUUUUUCAAAGAAUUAUUACUAGUUAAUUCUUUUCUGGAAGGUUGUUGAAAUGUUUUAUCUGUUGUGUUGCAGUUGAGAAUUUUCAAUUAAUACCUGAAUGGCAGUGAUUCCCUUACUUGUAUAAUUGAGGUAGUUGUCAAGAAAGGUUAUCUUGUCAGAUGUUUCUUUAAGUUAAUGAUUGACAUAAAAGGCAAUCAAUUCCAA
Long non-coding RNA from Lycium barbarum (goji berry), 987 nucleotides. RefSeq lists it as uncharacterized. NCBI's taxonomy places the organism in Eukaryota, Viridiplantae, Streptophyta, Magnoliopsida, Solanales, Solanaceae. The record is from RefSeq and is a predicted model, not a curated record. The transcript is spliced from 2 exons.